This 444-nucleotide ribosomal RNA is filed under the name Triticum aestivum (bread wheat). RNAcentral describes it as "partial small subunit ribosomal RNA". Lineage: Eukaryota; Viridiplantae; Streptophyta; Magnoliopsida; Poales; Poaceae. The record is from RNAcentral.
AUGACGGACAACGAUGCUGAGUCGGUCAAGUCCGGCAACGGAGGUUUCAAGGCGAACAAGUCCGGCAACAGCGGUUCCAAAGCGAACAAGAGUGGCGACAAGGUAAACAAGGGCGGCAAGUCAGCAACCAGUGGUGGAGGAACGGGCGGUGCCAACGUACUGGCGCAUCGCAACAUCCCCAUCCAGUACCCGAUGCUCACCGACGCCAACUACGGUGUGUGGGAAGUGAAGAUGAAUAUCAUUCUCUGGUCCCUUCAAGUGUGGGAGGCCAUCAGGGAUGACGACGUCGACGAGGAGUGCGACGGGUGCCAUGGCCGCCAUGUUGGGGAACGUAGUAAUUUCAAAAAAAUUCCUACGCACACGCAAGAUCAUGGUGAUGGCAUAGCAACGAGAGGGGAGAGUGUUCGUCCACGUACCCUCGUAGACCGUAAGCGGAAGCGUUAG